RNAcentral lists this long non-coding RNA (630 nucleotides) under Trifolium pratense (red clover). Its description in RNAcentral is "long non-coding RNA (TPRA_LNC013055)". Lineage: Eukaryota; Viridiplantae; Streptophyta; Magnoliopsida; Fabales; Fabaceae. The record is from RNAcentral.
UAUUUUUGCCAAACGUAGCUUAAAUUGAAAUAUUUUAAUAGUUUAGAAAUUACUAACAACCACUUAAUGGAAAAAUUAACCGAGGAACUAAACUAAUGGAUGUGAAUAUAAUUUUGAGACAUUUUAAUUACUUCGGAUAAUAAUAGAGAUUAAGUUAGGGAAAGAGUAAUAGUUUAUUGGCCAAAUUAGUCUUUGGAACUCCUUAUCCUCUAUUAUUAUGAUUUAUUUUUUUUGACUAAUCUUAUUAUGAGUUUUAAAAUAUAGUAAUGGAUGGAUGAGAUUAACACUAUGUUUGUUUUGAUAGAUUUAUGAGAGAGAGAAAUAAAGAAGAGAGAAAUAGUAAAGAAAUAAGGUAUUUCUUUAGUUUGGAUAAAGGGAGAAAUAAGGAGAGAGAGAAAUUUUUUAGGUGGGUCCCAUGCCAAAAGAAAUCUCUCCUCAAUAGGUGAGAUUUGUGAAUUGAAGGAGUGGAGAGAUGCAUUUUCCCACAAUGUCCUUCUUCUUAUUUUAUUUUUUUUAGUUUUAAUAUUCAACUUUAUUUUUUAUUUUUUUAAAUAUGAAGGAUAAAUUAGUCUUUUUCAUUUUUAUUAAUUUCUCUCUAUUCAUAUUUCUACUCAUCCUCUUCUCUAUUUN